This 464-nucleotide ribosomal RNA is filed under the name uncultured bacterium. RNAcentral describes it as "partial 16S ribosomal RNA". It matches the Rfam family "Bacterial small subunit ribosomal RNA", at positions 339 to 795 of the family's 1533-position model. The record is from RNAcentral.
CUACGGGACGCUCCAGUGGGGAAUAUUGGACAAUGGACGAAAGUCCGAUCCAGCGACACCGCGUGGGGGGUGAAGGCUUUCGGGUUGUAAACCCCUUUUCUGGAGGAAGAAUAAGGUUGGGAGGAAAUGCCCAUCCGAUGACGGUACUCCAGGAAUAAGCAUCGGCAAACUUCGUGCCAGCAGCCGCGGUAAGACGAAGGAUGCGAGCGUUAUCCGGAAUUACUGGGCGUAAAGGACAUCUAGGCGGUUGGAUAAGUCAUUUGUGAAAUCCCAGGGCUUAACCCUGGAAGGUCUUGUGAUACUGUCCGGCUCGGGUGUAGGAGAGGAGAGCGGAACUCACAGAGUAGCGGUGGAAUGCGUAGAUACUGUGAGGUACCCCGAUGGCGAAGGCAGCUCUCUGGCCUACUACCGACGCUGAAGCGUGAAAGCGUGGGGAGCAAAGGGGAUUAGAUACCCGCGUAGUC